RNAcentral lists this small RNA (18 nucleotides) under Arabidopsis thaliana (thale cress). RNAcentral's name for it is "ATSL003310". Lineage: Eukaryota; Viridiplantae; Streptophyta; Magnoliopsida; Brassicales; Brassicaceae. The record is from RNAcentral.
CAAUGUCCGAGGUUUGUU